UCUUUAAUGGAGAGUUUGAUCCUGGCUCAGGACGAACGCUGGCGGCGUGCCUAAUACAUGCAAGUCGAGCGAGGUUAGUUAGAAGCUUGCUUCUAACUAACCUAGCGGCGGACGGGUGAGUAACACGUAGGCAACCUGCCCACAAGACAGGGAUAACUACCGGAAACGGUAGCUAAUACCCGAUACAUCCUUUUCCUGCAUGGGCGAAGGAGGAAAGACGGAGCAAUCUGUCACUUGUGGAUGGGCCUGCGGCGCAUUAGCUAGUUGGUGGGGUAAAGGCCUACCAAGGCGACGA
This 295-nucleotide ribosomal RNA is filed under the name Paenibacillus polymyxa. RNAcentral describes it as "partial 16S ribosomal RNA". It matches the Rfam family "Bacterial small subunit ribosomal RNA", at positions 1 to 279 of the family's 1533-position model. The record is from RNAcentral. Lineage: Bacteria; Bacillati; Bacillota; Bacilli; Caryophanales; Paenibacillaceae.